GCAGUGCCCUGCCCAGGCAGGUGCUGAUCACUUAGUCUCUGGGUCAACAGUCCCUGCCUGGGUAGAGUAAGGCU
This is a non-coding RNA of Sus scrofa (pig), 74 nucleotides long. The record is from Rfam. NCBI's taxonomy places the organism in Eukaryota, Metazoa, Chordata, Mammalia, Artiodactyla, Suidae.